This 336-nucleotide ribosomal RNA is filed under the name Triticum aestivum (bread wheat). RNAcentral's name for it is "partial small subunit ribosomal RNA". Lineage: Eukaryota; Viridiplantae; Streptophyta; Magnoliopsida; Poales; Poaceae. The record is from RNAcentral.
AUGAAUAUGUUAUGUAUCAUGAUGAUCUGUCCACACUCCACGGAUACUUUUGAUGUAGAGCCACGACGAGUUACUAUGCAGGUGGAGCACCUUGAUGAGGAAAAUGUAAUUGUUGAUAAUGAUGAUGUUGCUCCAGAUGCACAGGUUGAUGAUAAUGUUGAUGAUGCUCCAGAUACAGAGGUUCAUGAUGAUGAUGUUGUGCAGCACUCAACCAUGUUUUGCAACGAUAAUUGUGCAGAACAGGUUGAGAACAUCCAUGAGCCAUCCACAUACACUGAAGCAGUUGCUUCCGGUGACCGCGAGAAGUGGAUUGCUGCUAUGCAGGAAGAGAUGUAG